Molecule: ribosomal RNA, 429 nt
Filed under: Bacteroidota bacterium
Lineage: Bacteria; Pseudomonadati; Bacteroidota
Description: Bacteroidetes bacterium partial 16S ribosomal RNA
Rfam family: Bacterial small subunit ribosomal RNA
Source: RNAcentral
UAGGGAAUCUUCCGCAAUGGACGCAAGUCUGACGGAGCAACGCCGCGUGAGUGAAGAAGGAUUUCGGUUCGUAAAACUCUGUUGUUAGAGAAGAACAGCGCAUAGAGUAACUGUUAUGCGUGUGACGGUAUCUAACCAGAAAGCCACGGCUAACUACGUGCCAGCAGCCGCGGUAAUACGUAGGUGGCAAGCGUUGUCCGGAUUUAUUGGGCGUAAAGCGAGCGCAGGCGGUCAAUUAAGUCUGAUGUGAAAGCCCCCGGCUCAACCGGGGAGGGUCAUUGGCAACUGGUUGGCUUGAGUGCAGAAGAGGAAAGUGGAAUUCCAUGUGUAGCGGUGAAAUGCGUAGAUCUAUGGAGGAACACCAGUGGCGAAGGCGACUCUCUGGUCUGUAACUGACGCUGAGGCUCGAAAGCGUGGGUAGCAAACAGG